UAGCACUAGAAAACGACACAAGCUUUGGAAGCGCAUUAACCAUGGGUACAAUAAAAUGAGAGCAACAAGAGAAGAAAAGGUCAGGUGCUUUACAUAUGAAUUGGUAAACUGUCAAAGGCUGUGAUAUACCCUGAACAUCUUCGGAGAUAACUAAUCUAGGAAGUUUCGCCCAAAGGGGGAAAGUUGAAUCGGAAGGACUCGAUAGCCUAGCGGUUAAUACAGACAGCAAAGAAGCAAG
Molecule: non-coding RNA, 238 nt
Organism: Schizosaccharomyces pombe (fission yeast)
Lineage: Eukaryota; Fungi; Ascomycota; Schizosaccharomycetes; Schizosaccharomycetales; Schizosaccharomycetaceae
Source: the annotation of a GenBank genome assembly